Podarcis lilfordi (Lilford's wall lizard) is the source of this 132-nucleotide non-coding RNA. NCBI's taxonomy places the organism in Eukaryota, Metazoa, Chordata, Lepidosauria, Squamata, Lacertidae. The record is from the annotation of a GenBank genome assembly.
UACCGCUCUUAACCACUGCACCACACUGGCUCUCACCUGAAUCUAUGCUCAUUGACUUAAAAUUCUCAAUGAGAAAGGAACAUGGGGCUUUUAUGUGAGAGCCAGUGUGGUGUAGUGGUUAAGAGCGGUAGU